Long non-coding RNA from Drosophila arizonae, 721 nucleotides. NCBI's taxonomy places the organism in Eukaryota, Metazoa, Arthropoda, Insecta, Diptera, Drosophilidae. The record is from RefSeq and is a predicted model, not a curated record.
AAAAAAUUGUCUGAAAUGAUAUUCUACAAGGCAAAUAGCCUGGUAAUGGCGGCUACUUGGAAAAUGGAUGCAGAAAACGAUUUAAAUUUUACUGAAAUGCCAUGAAAACCCUACCACACGUGUUGCCGGGAUAUGUUAGAGCUUCAUAUCCACGUGUUGAUACGUUGGCUUAUUUUCGAAUUUUUCCGCAUGAUAUGGAUCUGAUGUGCAGAAAAAUGAAUUUCUUCCACUUCUUAAAAGAUUUCACUGUCUUGAAGAAAAUAAUGAGAAAAGACCAUGCGAUGGUACUAUGAUGAAGAUCAGGCUGACGGAGCACCAUCUUCAAUUGGAGCAUUACUUGAUCGGCUCUAAGAGCUUGAUAGAGCUAUCCAAAGACGAGCCUUAGUUAAAGAUCAACGUCUUUAGGCUGUUAAUUUGGAAUGCUACCAAAAAAAAUAUAUAUUAAACAGAUCAGCGGCGUACCAAAAAUGGAAUUCUGAAAUAUUUAUUGUACAACCCAAACUUCUUGAAUAAAAUUGAAUAGAAUGUGUUUAUUAUAACGUGAUAUAAUUUAUUUUUCAUUUCAUAUUAUAGACAUUUACUUUGUUUUUGUUUUUAGGGCUAUUUGUAACGCUACAAAUCUUUGUAUUUGGGUUCCUGUUUUAUAUAUAUAUGUAUAUAUAAGAAUAAUUCUUUUUGUAAAUGUUUUGAAUUCAAUAUGUUUUCUUCGUUUUUGGUAUUU